CUUCCGUAGGGGGAACCUGCGGAAGGAUCAUUAGUGAAUAUAGGACGUCCAACUUAACUUGGAGUCCGAACUCUCACUUUCUAACCCUGUGCACUUGUUUGGGAUAGUAACUCUCGCAAGAGAGCGAACUCCUAUUCACUUAUAAACACAAAGUCUAUGAAUGUAUUAAAUUUUAUAACAAAAUAAAACUUUCAACAACGGAUCUCUUGGCUCUCGCAUCGAUGAAGAACGCAGCGAAAUGCGAUAAGUAAUGUGAAUUGCAGAAUUCAGUGAAUCAUCGAAUCUUUGAACGCACCUUGCGCUCCAUGGUAUUCCGUGGAGCAUGCCUGUUUGAGUGUCAUGAAUACUUCAACCCUCCUCUUUCUUAAUGAUUGAAGAGGUGUUUGGUUUCUGAGCGCUGCUGGCCUUUACGGUCUAGCUCGUUCGUAAUGCAUUAGCAUCCGCAAUCGAACUUCGGAUUGACUUGGCGUAAUAGACUAUUCGCUGAGGAAUUCUAGUCUUCGGAUUAGAGCCGGGUUGGGUUAAAGGAAGCUUCUAAUCAGAAUGUCUACAUUUUAAGAUUAGAUCUCAAAUCAGGUAGGACUACCCGCUGAACUUAAGCAUAUCAAUAAGCGGAGGAAG
Molecule: ribosomal RNA, 621 nt
Filed under: Rhodotorula mucilaginosa
Lineage: Eukaryota; Fungi; Basidiomycota; Microbotryomycetes; Sporidiobolales; Sporidiobolaceae
Description: eukaryotic LSU rRNA
Rfam family: 5.8S ribosomal RNA (bases 187-340)
Source: RNAcentral